RNAcentral lists this ribosomal RNA (253 nucleotides) under uncultured bacterium. RNAcentral's name for it is "partial 16S ribosomal RNA". It matches the Rfam family "Bacterial small subunit ribosomal RNA", at positions 524 to 776 of the family's 1533-position model. The record is from RNAcentral.
UACGUAGGGUGCUAGCGUUGUCCGGAAUUAUUGGGCGUAAAGAGCUUGUAGGCGGUUUGUCGCGUCUGCUGUGAAAUUUCGGGGCUCAACCCCGAACUUGCAGUGGGUACGGGCAGACUAGAGUGUGGUAGGGGAGACUGGAAUUCCUGGUGUAGCGGUGAAAUGCGCAGAUAUCAGGAGGAACACCAAUGGCGAAGGCAGCUCACUGGGACGGUAUUGACGCUGAGACGCGAAAGCGUGGGGAGCAAACAGG